UCGCGGCUGCGGCGUUCGAACAGGCUCACAUUCCGGCGACCUUACAUUUUCGUCAGGGAACUGGCGCUGCCCGGAUCGUGGUCCGGGUAACUGGUGCCCACCUAGCUUGCUGGGUCGACGGGAAUGCAAACCCCUGUACGGCGCUCGCGGUUGCCUU
RNAcentral lists this non-coding RNA (157 nucleotides) under Ponticaulis sp. RNAcentral's name for it is "6S RNA". It matches the Rfam family "6S / SsrS RNA". Rfam says of the family: E. coli 6S RNA was the first non coding RNA to be sequenced, but its function was unknown until recently. Lineage: Bacteria; Pseudomonadati; Pseudomonadota; Alphaproteobacteria; Hyphomonadales; Hyphomonadaceae. The record is from RNAcentral.